This 375-nucleotide long non-coding RNA is filed under the name Sorghum bicolor (sorghum). Its description in RNAcentral is "long non-coding RNA (SBIC_LNC013022)". The record is from RNAcentral. Lineage: Eukaryota; Viridiplantae; Streptophyta; Magnoliopsida; Poales; Poaceae.
CAUACUAGUUAUAAUUAACUAACUAAAUCGGUCAAAAAUUGCAAAUUAAAGUAUUAAAUGUUUUUAUUUUUUUCUAAGCUAAUUAAAAUAAAAAAACAUAUUAUCACUAUUUCUCUAAAAAAACGCGUCGCUUUUGAAAUGGCGAUGAAGCUAAUAACCUCUUAAAAAAACCAUAAAAUAAAAAACAAUAUACAUAACACUAGGAAAUGACAUAUGCCGCUUCUAAAUGUUGAGAAGAUGAAGCUAGUGACCUCUUAACAAGUCAAUGACGGUGUAGAAACGAUGAAAUGAAUCAAUAGCCGGAGAUGAGAGCAAGAACAAGCAACUCCAAAUGAAGAACACAGCAAAAGAGUGAAGAUCGAUGGGCUCGGCCAC